CACGUAGGGGGCGAGCGUUGUCCGGAUUUAUUGGGCGUAAAGAGCUCGUAGGCGGUUUCGUAAGUCGGAUGUGAAAACUCCAGGCUCAACUUGGAGACGCCAUUCGAUACUGCGAUGACUUGAGUCCGGUAGGGGAGUGUGGAAUUCCUGGUGUAGCGGUGAAAUGCGCAGAUAUCAGGAGGAACACCGGUGGCGAAGGCGGAUCUCUGGGCCUGUUCUGACGCUGAGGCGCGAAAGCUAGGGGAGCGAACAGG
This 254-nucleotide ribosomal RNA is filed under the name uncultured bacterium. Its description in RNAcentral is "partial 16S ribosomal RNA". It matches the Rfam family "Bacterial small subunit ribosomal RNA", at positions 524 to 776 of the family's 1533-position model. The record is from RNAcentral.